GGGCCCGCACAAGCGGUGGAGUAUGUGGUUUAAUUCGAUGCAACGCGAAGAACCUUACCAGGGUUUGACAUCCUGCGAAUCUCUUGGAAACGAGAGAGUGCCUUCGGGAACGCAGUGACAGGUGGUGCAUGGCUGUCGUCAGCUCGUGUCGUGAGAUGUUGGGUUAAGUCCCGCAACGAGCGCAACCCACGUCUUUAGUUGCCAGCAUUUAGUUGGGCACUCUAGAGAGACUGCCGGUGAUAAACCGGAGAAGGUGUGGAUGACGUCAAGUCAUCAUGCCCCUUACAUCUGGGCUACACACGUACUACAAUGCUACGGACAAAGGGCUGCACGCAUGCUACAAUGGCAAGUACAACGAGUCGCAAUAC
This 368-nucleotide ribosomal RNA is filed under the name uncultured bacterium. RNAcentral's name for it is "bacterial SSU rRNA". It matches the Rfam family "Bacterial small subunit ribosomal RNA", at positions 917 to 1289 of the family's 1533-position model. The record is from RNAcentral.